Molecule: non-coding RNA, 125 nt
Organism: Triticum aestivum (bread wheat)
Lineage: Eukaryota; Viridiplantae; Streptophyta; Magnoliopsida; Poales; Poaceae
Source: Rfam
GAUGUACUCCCUCUGUCCCGAAAUACUCGUCGAAGAGAUGGAUAAAAUUGGAUGUAUAUAUAACUAACACACGUCUAGAUACAUUCAUUUCUCCGACAAGUAUUUCCGGACGGAGGGAGUAGAAA